UACGGGGGGAGCCAGCGUUGUUCGGAUUUACUGGGCGUAAAGGGCGCGUAGGCGGCCACCGCAAGUCGGUUGUGAAAUCUCCGGGCUUAACCCGGAAAGGUCAAUCGAUACUGCGGGGCUAGAGUGCAGAAGGGGCAACUGGAAUUCUCGGUGUAGCGGUGAAAUGCGUAGAUAUCGAGAGGAACACCUGCGGCGAAGGCGGGUUGCUGGGCUGACACUGACGCUGAAGCGCGAAAGCUAGGGGAGCGAACGGG
This 254-nucleotide ribosomal RNA is filed under the name uncultured bacterium. RNAcentral describes it as "partial 16S ribosomal RNA". It matches the Rfam family "Bacterial small subunit ribosomal RNA", at positions 524 to 776 of the family's 1533-position model. The record is from RNAcentral.